RNAcentral lists this ribosomal RNA (256 nucleotides) under uncultured bacterium. Its description in RNAcentral is "partial 16S ribosomal RNA". It matches the Rfam family "Bacterial small subunit ribosomal RNA", at positions 524 to 776 of the family's 1533-position model. The record is from RNAcentral.
UACGGGGGGAGCAAGCGUUGUUCGGAUUUACUGGGCGUAAAGGGCGCGUAGGCGGUCGUGAUACAGUCACUUGUGAAAUCUCCGGGCUUAACUCGGAACGGUCAAGUGAUACUGUCGGACUAGAGUACAGAAGGGGCAACUGGAAUUCUCGGUGUAGCGGUGAAAUGCGUAGAUAUCGAGAGGAACACCUGCGGCGAAGGCGGGUUGCUGGGCUGAUACUGACGCUGGAGGAGCGAAAGCGUGGGGAGCAAACAGG